GGGGUAGAAGCUCAGUGGUUGAGCAAUCGAUUGCAGUUUAUCUUGCUUACGCAUUGAUUACGUCAUCGAUAGGCCGUGUGUUCGAUCCACACCUGCCCCU
This 100-nucleotide transfer RNA is filed under the name Rhizoctonia solani. Its description in RNAcentral is "tRNA-Cys". It matches the Rfam family "tRNA". Rfam says of the family: Transfer RNA (tRNA) molecules are approximately 80 nucleotides in length. Their secondary structure includes four short double-helical elements and three loops (D, anti-codon, and T loops). Lineage: Eukaryota; Fungi; Basidiomycota; Agaricomycetes; Cantharellales; Ceratobasidiaceae. The record is from RNAcentral.